Molecule: long non-coding RNA, 2037 nt
Organism: Magnolia sinica
Lineage: Eukaryota; Viridiplantae; Streptophyta; Magnoliopsida; Magnoliales; Magnoliaceae
Exons: 2
Source: RefSeq, a predicted model, not a curated record
UGCUCUCCACGAAUCGAGGUUAGGAUAGCUCAACCAAUUUGAUUUUGGGACUGUGACUUAGCGACAGUAGAUUCCAUGAUUUAGUUGGUUUAACUUGAGUUAAUGUAAGAUGUGUACAAUUUUUGAGUGCCUGUGUCUCUAGCACCAUGCCUUGUGUGAGUAUUCCCAAAAACAAAAGAAGUAGAAGUUGCAAGACUGAUGAUAUUGCAAGUACCUUAAUUUUCUAAGUCUGUGUUUGGUAGAAGAACAUAUGAAUUCAAUUAUGAAUUCAGUUCAAUCAAGGAAAUGACAAAAGUUAAUGGUAUUCACUUGAAAUCAAGAAAAAAAAAAAGCUAGGUAUGAUGAAAUUACAAGUACCUUAAUUUACUAAGUUUGUGUUUGGAUGAACAAAUGAAUUUAUUAUUUACUUGAAAUUACAGCGAGGAAGUACCUUUCAAACUACGGUUUUACUCUGAUCUUUCAAUCAUUCCCUAAUUUAAUUUUCAAUAUCUUUCUAACCUUCAUUUGUGGAUGAUCUUGGCUUCUGCUUAAAUGAUUUUUGUGCAUAUUCAACAUUCCAUCUGGAGCUGGAAUGGAAUGCGAUUGGUAAGUAUUUAUAUAUGUUCUCCAUCCUUUUGGCACCAAUACGUACACUUCUUUUCUUUUUACAGGUGGUCACUUGGUCAUCAUAUUUGUAGUGUAAGAGUUCCUAUUGUACCUUUUAGUGUUAUAAGUCUUGGGCUCCAUUUGGUCAUCACAUCAAUUUUUAUGAAUACAAUUUUUUUCUUAAACCAAAUGGAGCUUAAGCCCUUUUUUAACUUCGCCAAUGUAACUUCUUGCAUUGCCAAUCGCAAGCCUGGGUAAAGGAGGAGGGAGAAGGGCGUCAAGGUGAGUUGUGUCCUUUUCUUCCAUAUUUCUUUAAUACAAUAGUGCUAGCAACAAUUUGAUUGGCCCACUUCUUAUUCUCUGUUGUAGGUGUCAUUGCUGAACCCUGGGCUUGAAUGGGAUGCAUCAAUUUUUGAUGAACCAGUUGUUCUCUCAAUCUUAAGGCUAACCGUGAGAAGAUGACUCAAAUAAUUUUUGAAACCUUCAACACUCCUGCUAUGUAUGUUGCUAUCCAAGCUGUUCUCUCACUUUAUGCCAGUGGUCUUACUACUGGUAAGAAAAUCAAAUAAUUCUUUACUUUUAGAUCUGCAUACCUUUUCUUCAUUAUUGGGAAGAUUUUAGAAGUUUUUAUACAAUGUAAAGUGAUGGUGUUCAAUUUGGAUUUUUCAGGACAUGGAUGGAUAUAAUUUGUGCUCGGAUUUUGAUUAUUUUGUAAUAAUUUGGAUUUUUUUUCUACUUUUCUGUCGCUUAUUUUGAUUUUAUUUUUUCUAGUUAUGCAUGCAUCACGCAUCUUAUUUUUGACAGUCUGGAUUAGCAUACAGGCACCCAAUCUUCUAUCAGAUGAUAUUAUCUUAUCUAUGUUGUUGAGGAAAUUUUCUUCAACUUAGACUGAUUAUUUCUUGUAGGAUGUGUAGGAACCUUUCUUCUUAAAUGAUGAUAUGUUCUUUUACUUUCGAGAUGAUUCUUCCUAUUUCAGGCUUUCAACUGCAAGAAAUACUAUCUAAGCAGAAGAUCAGGGCCUAAUUUUAGUCUCCAAUAUUAUUUCAUGAUAAUUCCAGUCUGCAUACUGUCAAACCAAAAAGUAGUCUGCAUUGCUAGAAUAUAAAAGAAGCAUGUACCUUUGUUCUUGGUGCAGCUUAUGGAAUUGAUUGAGGCACCAUUUUUACAAUGCGGAAGACAUUGAAUCAAGAACAAUAAUUUUUUUAAGCAAACAGGCGAGAUCCAAUGAGUAUAGAGAUUUGACAGAAAAGUUGCUGGAUUUGUGAUAGAGAAGUGCACCGAGUUAACGCACGAAUCGAUCCAUCUACGCCACCUUUCCCCAAAGCCCAUUCGAAGCAUCAUGUAUUUGUGAUAGAGAAGUAUGCUGACUUAAUGCACGACUUUGUAUUAUUUGUGGAACCUAAUGUUGUGUAAUAGUUUGAUUGAGUUAAACUUUAAAUAAGCUGUUGUUAA